GGAAGGUUGAGUAAUGUUUAUUAGGAUUAGUUUGCAAAAAUAGAUAUUGAUGGAAAUAUUUGAGAUCAUGAUGUUUUUCCAUAAAAUAUUUGUAUGAUAUAGAGGUCACUCUUAUAUACUUCCUCCGUUUUUUAAAGAGUUAAGCAUACGUUUGCCCCCUAACGUUUGGGGUUUUUUAACGUUCGCCCACUAACGUUUAAAAGAUAAACAUUCACCCCUUAACGUUUGCUUAACUCAACCUUAGUUAAAAAUGUAUUGCUUGACAACUAAUUACAUUAUUUAUCCCCUCAAAAAAAAAUUACAUUAUUUAAAAAUAAUAAUUUUAAUUGUUAAUUAGUCAAGGAAGGGUUUUGCGUUUUUUCCACCCAAAAUGACUGUCAUCUUUUCCUCUUCCCAUUUUCACACAAACUUUUACCAUUAACAACUUUUACCAAACAAGAGGAAGAGAGCACACAAAACACACCAUUUGCGGCUACAAAGUACGAACGACUACUGAACUAGAGACAAAAGAUAUGGAGAAUGUUUCAAACUGCAUAAUUUUACACCAUGGUGGCAAAUGGGUGACCACUGAAGAAUGGUCUUACGUUGGCGGAAAAAUUGAAAUCUGUAACGAUAUGCCAGUUCAAUUGACACACCAUGAUAUUGUGAGUUUGGUUUCGAGGUUGGGCUAUGAUGAUGUAAUCGGACUUCAUUACAAUGAUCCUUCAAUUACAAGGGUUUCGAUCAUGGAUUAGGGUUUUUUUGGCGCUGUGGAUUGAAAGAUUAAAAGCGUAUAAUGGUGGCUCUUGGAUUUUUGAUGGAUUGAUUGUUGUUCUGUGGUAGUUAUUAUUUUAAUGGAAGGAAAUGAAUUUUUUAUUUUA
Beta vulgaris subsp. vulgaris (sugar beet) is the source of this 860-nucleotide long non-coding RNA. RefSeq lists it as uncharacterized. Lineage: Eukaryota; Viridiplantae; Streptophyta; Magnoliopsida; Caryophyllales; Amaranthaceae. The transcript has 2 exons. The record is from RefSeq and is a predicted model, not a curated record.